AGAUGUGAGGGUGAUCUGGCUGUGACAUCUGUCACCUCAUUGAUGGCCAGGGUUGAUUCUGCUGAUCUGGCUGGCUAGGCGGGUGUCCUUCCUCCCUCACUGCUCCACGUGCAUCCCUCCCUAACCUGCCAGCUUGGUCAAAGAGAAUGGCCUUCCCCAAAUAGAGACUGACCACUCUUCAGUCGAGGAUAUUCAAGUAGUCUGCGCUCCCCUGCUAGAACCUCCAAACAAGCUCUCAAAUCACACUGUAGUACAAAUUUUAAUGUGCCUCAUAAUGAACAUUUAUAAAAGUGACUAU
Unclassified non-coding RNA from Erinaceus europaeus (western European hedgehog), 298 nucleotides. Its record names the gene 7SK. It matches the Rfam family "7SK RNA". Rfam says of the family: 7SK was discovered as an abundant small nuclear RNA in the mid-70s but a possible function has only recently been suggested. The record is from Ensembl. Lineage: Eukaryota; Metazoa; Chordata; Mammalia; Eulipotyphla; Erinaceidae.